UAUGCUUGCAUUCAGAACUUGGUUCCGAGUUUGCUCUCUUCUUUCUCAGUAAUAAUUCGAGUUAUCGUCGAGCAAAGUACAUGGUUGAUCUAGAAGUCCAGAUUCCUACUGCUUUUGAUCCAUUCGUUGAGGCCAAGGAUACAGGUGCUCCUGGGGCGAGAGAGUAUGUUCAUAUCCGCAUUCAGCAAAGGAAUGGAAAGAAAAAACUGACGACAGUUCAAGGGCUACCCAAAGAAUUCAGCUACGAGAAGAUCCUCAAGGCUUUGAAGAAGGAAUUCUGUUGUAAUGGGAAUGUUGUACAUGACAAAGAGCUUGGCGAGGUAAUCCAGCUCCAAGGAGAUCAACGAAAAAACGUUCAGAGUUUCCUUAUUAACGCUGACCUUGUGAAGAAGGAACAUAUCAAGAUACACGGUUUUUAGAUCUUCUGUGGCUUUAUGAUCUCAGCUGCUAUUGAUGUAUGUUUAUGGUCUAGGGACCCCUAAAAGGUAUUUAUAAUUUGUUACGAUUGAGUUGGCUUGAACUUGCUUUCUCUUUUCAGCUUCUUGUACUUUAAUCUUUAAAUAAUGGGAACUGCAGCGAGAUGUAAUUCUGAACAAGCAGUGAUGGUAAUUGAUGUUGUUGAUUUAAUCAGCAUUAUUUUUUCCUUCCAACUUUUGUUUAGUUCAAAUGUUACUUAAAAAAUUAUUACCAAAUAGAGCUUAAAUAAGAGAGUAUUCGAUUCUAAUUACAAUACUUGAUACUUGUGUUAAAAGAUGUUGCUAAACACGACCGUCAUGGCAAUCAUGGAAUUGAAUUCUCGGGUAGCUUUUGCUCCUUUUGGACACAGGAUAUGGAAAGGACUAGUGAGGCGUUUUCCCCUUGGGGGUUGGGACGCAGGAUGCGGAAAGGAUUCUGAUGCAGCUAUGGCGAUCAAAGCUUAUGUAAGUUCAUCCUGUUUUGGUAACUCAAAGCUCAUCAUCCCGUAAUCUCUGUUCUAUGGAAGUUGGGUGGCAGCAAAACUUACCUAUGUAAGGUUGAGAGGUCAUUAGGAGUAUGCACCAUCUGUUUGAUGAGAUCAAUAUCAUAAUUUAGCUUGGUCUGAAUUUACUUUUUAUCUUAAAUAAAUUAAAUAAUCAUUAUAAUAUAAUAAUUUAAUAAUAUUAAAAAUACUAUUAAUAAAUAACUUGUAUAUCUAAAAGAAAAUAUGUUUACAUUGUGAACUCAAAACUAAUCUAUAAAGUCGAUUUGAUUCAAUACAAAUUGAUGAUCUGAACUAAAUUGUGAACUCCCUAGAGUUCAGGAAUGGGAUAGUCUGGUGGUGUCAUCUUGUGCUGA
This 1314-nucleotide unclassified non-coding RNA is filed under the name Hevea brasiliensis (rubber tree). The record is from RNAcentral. Lineage: Eukaryota; Viridiplantae; Streptophyta; Magnoliopsida; Malpighiales; Euphorbiaceae.